RNAcentral lists this ribosomal RNA (201 nucleotides) under uncultured bacterium. Its description in RNAcentral is "partial 16S ribosomal RNA". It matches the Rfam family "Bacterial small subunit ribosomal RNA", at positions 1300 to 1500 of the family's 1533-position model. The record is from RNAcentral.
GCAGCCUGCAACCCGGCUGCGUGAAGCUGGAAUCGCUAGUAAUCGCGGAUCAGCAUGCUGCGGUGAAUACGUUCCCGGGCCUUGUACACACCGCCCGUCACACCAUGGGAGUCGGUAACACCCGAAGUCGGUAGUCUAACCGAAAGGAGGACGCCGCCGAAGGUGGGAUUGAUGACUGGGGUGAAGUCGUAACAAGGUACC